CCUCUGCCAAGCACCUCGGCGCUGAGACUUUGCUCACUGCCCCCUUUCUCUUCGGUGCCUGGAAUCCCUAAUUUCCCCUUUGAUCACUAUGAAUUUGCCUAUUUUAUGUGUUUCAGAUGACAGAAAUUGAAGAAUACCUGUCCCUGUUGCCUGGCUUACUUCAGUUAGCAUGAUGUUCUCAAGGGUCAACCAUUGUUACUGUUUGGAUGCUGAACAUUCUCUGUGAGUCCAAGUAGAAAAGGCGUGGUGACCAGGUGGCAUUGUUGAGAGAUGCUUAGUUAGGGUUCUACUGUUGUGAACAGACACUGUGACCAAGGCAAGUCUUAUAAAGACAACAUUUAAUUGGGGCUGGCUUACUGUGCGGUCCAUUAUCAUCAAGGUGGGAGCAUGGCAGCAUCUAAGCAGGCAUGGUGCAGGAGGAGCUGAGAGUUCUACAUCUUCAGCUGAAGGCUUCUAGGAGAAGACUACCUUCCAGGCAGCUAUGAUGAGAGUUUUCAAACCUGUGCCCACAGCUGCAUACCUACUCUAACAAGGUUACACUUACUACAACAAGGCCACAGUUUCAAAUAAUGCCACUCCCUGGGUUAGGCAUACUCAAACAGAUGCCAUGACCCCUUAAGAGGUGGAAGCUUAUAACAGGUAUUGAAGACAUGCCCUCAAAGGGGAUUCUAGGACUGACUACCUUCCCGUUCUCUUUUGCUUUUUGUCCCUGUCUUUGAGGUAACCAGUGUCCUCCAUUCUGGUCUUCUUUACCAUUACCAUCCAACAUGUCCACCAGGGGUCCACAGCAACAGAUCUGCCUGAUUGUAGGCUGAGACCUCCAAGGCUGAGUAAAAACUCAGGGGUGAGAUCUUCAGCGAAAAAAUGUGAAGAAGACGUGAUUCAAAUCAUUACAGGUGAUGGUAUUCUACUUGCUGACUUAGGGGAUGGUUUUAGAGGCGUAUUAGUUUCUUUUCUGUUGCUGUGAUUAAACACCCUCGCAAAGGCAGCUUAAGAGAGAAAGGGUUUAUUUAUUUGGCUGGCUCACAGAUUUCACAGGAAAUAUAGUGCACAGUGGCAGAGGAGGCGUGGUGCUAGCAGCGUGAGACAGGAAGCAGAGGGAAAAAAAAGAGGAAGUUGCAUGCUGGUGUUUAAAACCACCUAGCUGAGACCUCCUAGCUGGGUAGUGAUGCAUGUCUUUAAUGCCAGCACUUAGGAGGCAGAGGCUGGCAGAUCUCUGAGUUUGAGACCAGCCUGGUCUAUGGAGCAAGUUCCAUGACAGCCAGGGCUACACAGAGAAACCUGUCUCAAAAAUCCAACCAACCAACUAACUAACUAACCAACCAACCAACCAACCAACCAAAAGCCCUUAAAGCCUGAUUCCAGUAAUAGGACUUCCUUGAAUAGGUCUAGAACCUUCCCAAUCAGCACUACCAGCUGAGGACCGAGUGUUCAAACCUAGGAGCCUAUGAGAACCAAGCACUUUAUGUUCAAACUACAGCAAGAGGUUUUCAAGAUAAUUAUUCAUUAAGUGAAUUAGUCACCAUUUAUGAACUUCUGUGAUUUUUUUUUUUUAUUUGUCAUGGUUUUUAAACAUUUAAACUGGUUGGCUGACCACAUCAAUCAAACCACCAUGAUGUUUUGAGUCCACUAUUUUGGACUCUGUAUUGAAAAAUAAAUUCCAG
Mus spicilegus (steppe mouse) is the source of this 1664-nucleotide long non-coding RNA. Lineage: Eukaryota; Metazoa; Chordata; Mammalia; Rodentia; Muridae. The record is from Ensembl.